This is a non-coding RNA of Peromyscus maniculatus bairdii (prairie deer mouse), 1248 nucleotides long. Lineage: Eukaryota; Metazoa; Chordata; Mammalia; Rodentia; Cricetidae. The record is from RefSeq and is a predicted model, not a curated record.
GUUUUCUGCUUAUUCAGCCCUGGCUCCUGGUCACAGCCAUCACAAGGACUUCACAGAACCCAGACUUCCACCUGACCUCAACUCAGGUUGUAGCCCCCUUACAACAGGCUGGGGUGCUUUACUGCUAUUAGCAUGUAAGGUAACCGAAGGCACCUUAGAAACGGGAGUCCGCAGCUUCGUCACGAGAACAACAGCCCCAUCAACCGCGUCUGUGACUUACUUAGAUGGGGCUGAAUCCCAGCAAGGCAAGCUUCUCAGAGCCUGGUAUGGAUGACUAGAACCAGGACUACAAAUGACCAAAGAGGCUUCCAACUUUCUCCGUCCAUCCCUGACACGCACACCCUCUGAGUUGCAGCGAUGUGCAGUGAGCACACGGCUGGACAUCGUCACAGGAAGGCCACCACCUCUCUUCCCUUAGGCCUAGCUUUGCUGUGUAGAGUAUAGUGUGGCCAUUGUCACGGAGACCCCAGCUGUGGAGUCACGCGAGCCCAAAUGUACGUAUCCAGCUCUCUAGUGAAAACCUCCCCUUGGAUAUCAUGCAGUUACUUUCAAUCUCAGCUUGUUGAACAGUGACAAUGGACAGUGAUGGAUUAAAUUUAAACAAAGACACAGGUUAUCGCGUUAUUGGAGGGGCAUGUGCCGCUGUGUUUGGAAGUGAAACGACCCAUGAGUGUCAGUUCUCCCCUUGUACUACGCGGUUCCUGGGGUCCAACUCAGCUUGCCAGACUUGGCAGCAGGCACCUUUUCUCUCUGAGCCAUCCUGCCAGCAUAUAAAUCACAUUUUAAUGGAUAUGGCAGUGGGCUGUUUGUGAAACACUGUAUUAGGUACCUGGAAAGAAAAGACUUUGCUUCUGCAUCUCCCAUGCAAAUCCCUGCUCAGCUGAAGGUUUUGAUGAGUGAAGCCAACGAAUGGCCUGAAGUUCUGCUGUCAUGAAGCGAUGAUCUUCUCAUGGCAGAGUAAGGAAAAUACUUCAUCGUCUUGAAGAUGAAGACAGUCUUCCAUAGGUUACAAUGAGACCCAAUGAGGAUGAGAAAAGCAGCAAUGACCUUAACUGCUCACUUAUCAGGGCAAUAAUGGAAGCAAGAAAACAGAGUGAUAACUGGUAAGCCAGAAUUUCCACUGUGGCAUCCAAGACAUUUUCAGAUCCAGAAAACACCAGAACACUCACCUCUGAUAAUCGCACUACAGUUCAAUUUGCAAAGAUGUUCCUCAAAGAUAAAAACAACAAUCGCAAAGGAAGCUGUGGA